RNAcentral lists this ribosomal RNA (253 nucleotides) under uncultured bacterium. RNAcentral describes it as "partial 16S ribosomal RNA". It matches the Rfam family "Bacterial small subunit ribosomal RNA", at positions 524 to 776 of the family's 1533-position model. The record is from RNAcentral.
UACGUAGGGUGCGAGCGUUGUCCGGAAUUAUUGGGCGUAAAGAGCUCGUAGGCGGUUUGUCACGUCUGCUGUGAAAUCCCGAGGCUCAACCUCGGGCCUGCAGUGGGUACGGGCAGACUGGAGUGCGGUAGGGGAGAAUGGAAUUCCCGGUGUAGCGGUGAAAUGCGCAGAUAUCGGGAAGAACACCCGUGGCGAAGGCGGUUCUCUGGGACGGUACUGACGCUGAGACGCGAAAGCGUGGGGAGCGAACAGG